Molecule: ribosomal RNA, 422 nt
Filed under: uncultured Gemmatimonas sp.
Lineage: Bacteria; Pseudomonadati; Gemmatimonadota; Gemmatimonadia; Gemmatimonadales; Gemmatimonadaceae
Description: bacterial SSU rRNA
Rfam family: Bacterial small subunit ribosomal RNA
Source: RNAcentral
UGGGGAAUCUUGCGCAAUGGUCUAACGACUGACGCAGCGACGCCGCGUGUGGGAGGACGCCUUUCGGGGUGUAAACCACUGUUGCCCGGGACGAACAGCGCUAUUCGUGGCGUCUGACGGUACCGGGUGAGGAAGCACCGGCUAACUCCGUGCCAGCAGCCGCGGUAAUACGGAGGGUGCGAGCGUUGUCCGGAAUCAUUGGGCGUAAAGGGCGCGUAGGUGGCCCGGUCAGUCUUUGGUGAAAGCGCGGGGCUCAACCCUGCGUCGGCCAGGGAUACUGCCGCGGCUCGAGCACUGUAGAGGCAGGCGGAAUUCCGGGUGUAGCGGUGGAAUGCGUAGAGAUCCGGAAGAACACCGGUGGCGAAGGCGGCCUGCUGGGCAGUUUAGCUGACACUGAGGCGCGACAGCGUGGGGAGCAAACA